UAUACGUCGCCACAACGUAACUUUGUAACGUUGCCAGUUGGUAACUACGACGUCGUGGCAACCUUGUGGAUCUAUAGUCGUGUGUUGGUUUCUAAUCAUGUAAAUGAACAAAGAAGGUUUUCUUCAGAAGCUUGAACACCGAACCAUUUACUCCUCCACAUCUACUCCUCCGUCCACUCCUCUACAUGUCCCUAAAACAAGAAAAAUGAAAUAAAAGAAAGAAAGGACCAGCUUUCCAUUUCAUGACGGCAUCUGGAAUUAAACAGAGGUCACAGCCGUUACAGUAUGCUGUAGUGGCUCCAUACAUUGUUAGUGGCUACUGCGCGCAUUACCCUCCUUACACACUCCCCUGGACUGGCCCCACUAAUAAGGCUGAGAUGGUGUGUCUGGAAAAAAAACACCAUUUGUUGGCAUGCAGGGUCCUUAAGGUGGUUCUCAAGGUCCUCCAAUUCCUCCAUGCACUGAGCUGUCUUGAGGUCCAAGAUAUCAUCCUCCCUUUGACGACCCUGGUUCCUCCGCAGUAAAAGUAGAAUUUCCCUCUGGGAGGCCGCCAGGGUGUCUACUUUCUGCAGCAGCACCUGCAGUGUUUCUGCAAUAAAGGUUUUUCUUUAAAUAAUUGAAGGAUUGAAAAAAGGUAACUUAUUUUAAUUUUAAAUAUUAACAGAAUAAUUUACCAACAAAAAAAAAAUUAAUUAACCUAAGGGUUAGAGGUAGAGGUCCCAGUAACCACGGGACCCGACAAGAUUUCUUGUGAUGCGAGAUUAAAUUCCCAAGUAAAACGCGGCAGCAGUCGAUAACUUUGGUGUAAUUUGAGAGCGGUUGGUCUAACAAUAUCUUUUUCCCGACAUCCUUUCAGAACAGCAUAUCUGCGCUUUAUUCUUGUUGACCACAGGUACAUCCUGCACUCAGGACUGUUAUGCAUGCGCUGCACGCAUGAACCAGUGCUUUCUGCGGCAGAUUUUACAUGCGGGGUCAGCAUGUGCAUAAUAGUGUUCAGUGACAGAGCGGUACAAGGAUGGAGCAAAGUGUGGAUGUGCUGUCCUUGAAGGACGUUUAACAUGUUUUAAUAUAUUAUAUAUAUAUAUAUAUAUAUAGGCUAUAAUAAUUGACAGAUGUUGUAUAUAUUUAUUUAUUUUCUGUGACACUUUACUUACCAAUUUAGUAUUUUGACAAGAUGAAUAAAAAAUAGCUAAUAGGCUAUAUUUGUAUAUUUGUAAUAGGCUUUUUUUCCUACUGUGUUAAGACACAAAAUAUGUUUAACAUUCUAGUUAGAGGUAAACGCAUUUGUGUACAUUUUGUAUUUUUUGAUCACAUUUAAACACAUUUGCUAUCUUGUAUCUUUUACCUUUGAGGUCUUUUGGCACUGAAAAAUCUUGUGGACGCCUUGUCCAUGGUUGUCUCUCUGCUGAAAAGGUAGCAUCACAAUUCUGUUAGACAAUUAUGCAGACAUAUGCAG
This is a long non-coding RNA of Cyprinus carpio carpio, 1456 nucleotides long. Lineage: Eukaryota; Metazoa; Chordata; Actinopteri; Cypriniformes; Cyprinidae. The record is from Ensembl.